Long non-coding RNA from Apus apus (common swift), 509 nucleotides. RefSeq lists it as uncharacterized. Lineage: Eukaryota; Metazoa; Chordata; Aves; Apodiformes; Apodidae. The transcript has 4 exons. The record is from RefSeq and is a predicted model, not a curated record.
GGAGAACAUUCCCAUUCAUAAUAAACUUCCUCAGAAGAAAAACAACUUUUCAGGAGUAUUCUAGGAGCAGCAAGGAUCCCAUAAAGGGCGAGGGAAAAGUGCCCACUGGAAACAGAGGCUUUCAACAGCUGACCACUGCUGGGAACUCAUAACAGAAAUCCAAGGCCUCCAAAGAUCCAAAUACAGUGAUGUUCAGCAAAAUGUCAUGCCAGAGGACCUCAGUUCUGACAAGCCCUAACGACCCACCAGAGGACAGUGUGGCAGUUGUGUCAGAUGAUCUUUGAAGCCCCCAUGCUGCAGUCUGCUCUGUGUGUAUGUUGCUUCUUCCAUGGCCUUAUCAUCUGCUCCUACCAGAGCUGUGGAGUGUGACAAUGGUGUUUGUGUCCAGUCUAUCAAACGCCAUUAUCACACUAAAUAGCUACUGGCAGACAAGACAUCAACUCAGAAAAGUUUGUUCGCUAUAGCAACAUGUCUUCCCACCGUGCUGAGAAAUAAAUAACCUUGGUACA